UUGGACACUCUAGAGACACAUGAAGGAC
RNAcentral lists this non-coding RNA (28 nucleotides) under Rattus norvegicus (Norway rat). The record is from RNAcentral. Lineage: Eukaryota; Metazoa; Chordata; Mammalia; Rodentia; Muridae.